This 255-nucleotide ribosomal RNA is filed under the name uncultured bacterium. Its description in RNAcentral is "partial 16S ribosomal RNA". It matches the Rfam family "Bacterial small subunit ribosomal RNA", at positions 524 to 776 of the family's 1533-position model. The record is from RNAcentral.
GACAUAGGUCGCAAACGUUAUCCGGAAUUAUUGGGCGUAAAGGAUGCGUAGAUGGUUCAGUAAGUUACUGGUGGGAAAUCGAGGCCCAACCUCGUGGAAGUUAGUAAUACUGUUGAACUUGAGUGCAGGAGAGGUUAACGGAACUUCAUGUGGAGCGGUAAAAUGCGUAGAUAUAUGAAAGAACAUCAAUAUGGCGAAGGCAGUUAGCUAUUCUUCUACUGACAUUGAGGCAUGAAAGCGUGGGGAGCAAAACGG